GUCGGUAUAGCUCAGUGGUAGAGCGCAUGCUUAGCAUGCACAAGGUCCUGGGUUCAAUCCCCAGUUCCUCCA
RNAcentral lists this transfer RNA (72 nucleotides) under Camelus ferus (Wild Bactrian camel). It matches the Rfam family "tRNA". Rfam says of the family: Transfer RNA (tRNA) molecules are approximately 80 nucleotides in length. Their secondary structure includes four short double-helical elements and three loops (D, anti-codon, and T loops). Lineage: Eukaryota; Metazoa; Chordata; Mammalia; Artiodactyla; Camelidae. The record is from Rfam by way of RNAcentral.